RNAcentral lists this ribosomal RNA (31 nucleotides) under Anopheles strodei. RNAcentral's name for it is "partial 28S ribosomal RNA". RNAcentral also lists the same sequence under 9 other names. Lineage: Eukaryota; Metazoa; Arthropoda; Insecta; Diptera; Culicidae. The record is from RNAcentral.
UGGGCCUCAAAUAAUGUGUGACUACCCCCUA